Molecule: ribosomal RNA, 312 nt
Filed under: uncultured Methanosaeta sp.
Lineage: Archaea; Methanobacteriati; Methanobacteriota; Methanomicrobia; Methanotrichales; Methanotrichaceae
Description: bacterial SSU rRNA
Rfam family: Archaeal small subunit ribosomal RNA
Source: RNAcentral
CGGGGCACCGCGAUAAGGGGACCUCGAGUGCUGGGUUACAAACCUGGCUGUUGGGCUGCCUAAAAAGCAGUCUAUAGCAAGGGCCGGGCAAGACCGGUGCCAGCCGCCGCGGUAACACCGGCGGCUCGAGUGGUAACCGCUAUUAUUGGGUCUAAAGGGUCUGUAGCCGGCCGACUAAGUCUCUUGGGAAAUCUGGCAUCUCAAGUGUCAGGCUGCCAGGGGAUACUGGUCGGCUUGGGACCGGGAGAGGUGAGAGGUACCUCGGGGGUAGGGGUGAAAUCUUGUAAUCCUCGAGGGACCACCAGUGGCGAA